Microcebus murinus (gray mouse lemur) is the source of this 802-nucleotide non-coding RNA. The record is from RefSeq and is a predicted model, not a curated record. Lineage: Eukaryota; Metazoa; Chordata; Mammalia; Primates; Cheirogaleidae.
GCCGGGCUCUGGCCUGCCCUUUCCAGCGGUUCGAGGUCGUGGGCCCGGGAGCCCGGGAGCGGCGGAGCGUCGAGCGGGCCCAAGAAGCCUCGUCGGAGGCGCAGGGACUCAACGCAGAAUCCAUCGCUGCCUCACGCCUGCCUCUCCUGUCGGAGGGGCCGCUUUUGUCAACCUAAGAAGACCACAUCACAGUUGAGGACAGAAAGCUCUAAAGGACCCCCAGCCUUGGCGUGAAGGUCAGGGGCAGAUGGACGUCAAGGAAAGUGAAGCUAUCUCCAUUCCCCUUUUCCCCUGGUGGUCGCACCUGCUCUCCCCAUGGCCCCAGGAUUGAGAAGCAGAGCAUAGGGUAGGGACAGAGUGCUUCCUUCAAAGUGUGGCCUUUGGGGCUACCUCACCCGUGUUGCUCUCCUUCCCUUAUCCCCGUUCAUGCAGCAGUGGGGAGUGACUUCUCCUGCGUGGGCUCUCACCUCUCCUGGGUCCUCUGUCUUGUUUUCCUGAACCUUUUUCAUGGGCCUAGAUUUUCUCCUUCUGGGUCCAUCUCAUUAACAGAAUUUCUCCCUGUUCAGCCAGGACAACAUUCUGGGGUUAUCCUUUUCAUGAGGGUUCCUUUCUCUACACAUUGUGCUUCCUGGGUAGGCGCGCCAGAUUAUCAGGCAGAUCUGGCUGUCCAUGCCUUGUGCCCACAGGAGAACCCUCAGUCCCAGUGCCCCUUCAGAUAGCUGCAUGAUUCCCACUGGAUGAGAUGUAGCCCAGGAUAGGGCAGGCCCUGGCCUUGGCCUUGGAAUAAAUGUGUUUCCUUUGA